RNAcentral lists this ribosomal RNA (546 nucleotides) under uncultured Glomeromycotina. RNAcentral describes it as "SSU rRNA". It matches the Rfam family "Eukaryotic small subunit ribosomal RNA", at positions 548 to 1097 of the family's 1831-position model. Lineage: Eukaryota; Fungi; Glomeromycota. The record is from RNAcentral.
UUGGAGGGCAAGUCUGGUGCCAGCAGCCGCGGUAAUUCCAGCUCCAAUAGCGUAUAUUAAAGUUGUUGCAGUUAAAAAGCUCGUAGUUGAAUUUCGGGGUUCUACCGUCGGUCGGGCUACCAAGUCUGUACUGGUGUGUAGAACUUCUACCUUCUGGGGAACCAUCAUGUUAUUAAUUUAGCGUGGUGGGAAACCAGGACCUUUACCUUGAAAAAAUUAGAGUGUUCAAAGCAGGCUUAUGUCUGAAUACAUUAGCAUGGAAUAAUAGAAUAGGACGGUGGUCCUGUUUUGUUGGUUUCUGAAUCACCGUAAUGAUUAAUAGGGAUAGUUGGGGGCAUUAGUAUUCAAUUGUCAGAGGUGAAAUUCUUGGAUUUAUUGAAGACUAACUUCUGCGAAAGCAUUUGCCAAGGAUGUUUUCAUUAAUCAAGAACGAAAGUUAGGGGAUCGAAGACGAUCAGAUACCGUCGUAGUCUUAACCAUAAACUACGCCGACUAGGGAUCGGACGAUGUUAAAUUUUAUUGACUCGUUCGGCGCCUUACGGGAAA